Molecule: non-coding RNA, 148 nt
Organism: Gorilla gorilla gorilla (western lowland gorilla)
Lineage: Eukaryota; Metazoa; Chordata; Mammalia; Primates; Hominidae
Rfam family: Metazoan signal recognition particle RNA
About the family: The signal recognition particle (SRP) is a universally conserved ribonucleoprotein. It is involved in the co-translational targeting of proteins to membranes. The eukaryotic SRP consists of a 300-nucleotide 7S RNA and six proteins: SRPs 72, 68, 54, 19, 14, and 9.
Source: Rfam
GCCAGGUGUGGUGGUGUGCGCCUGUAAUCCCAGCUACUCUGGAGGCUGAGGCAGGAGAAUUGCUUGAGCCCAGGAGGCGGAGGUUGCAGUGAGUUGGGAUUGUGCCACUGCACUCCAGCCUGGACGACAGAGCGAUACUCUGUCUCAA